This 604-nucleotide ribosomal RNA is filed under the name uncultured bacterium. RNAcentral describes it as "bacterial SSU rRNA". It matches the Rfam family "Bacterial small subunit ribosomal RNA", at positions 9 to 602 of the family's 1533-position model. The record is from RNAcentral.
GAGUUUGAUCCUGGCUCAGAUUGAACACUGGCGGCAUGCCUAACACAUGCAAGUCGAACGGCAGCACAGCAGAGCUUGCUCUGUGGGUGGCGAGUGGCGGACGGGUGAGUAAUACAUCGGGACCUACCCUGACGUGGGGGAUAACCUCGGGAAACCGGGACUAAUACCGCAUACGUCCUACGGGAGAAAGCGGGGGACCUUCGGGCCUCGCGCGUCUGAACGGACCGAUGUUCGAUUAGCUUGUUGGUGGGGUAACGGCCUACCAAGGCGACGAUCGAUAGCUGGUCUGAGAGGAUGAUCAGCCACAUUGGGACUGAGACACGGCCCAAACUCCUACGGGAGGCAGCAGUGGGGAAUAUUGGACAAUGGGCGCAAGCCUGAUCCAGCAAUGCCGCGUGUGUGAAGAAGGCCUUCGGGUUGUAAAGCACUUUUAUCAGGAACGAAAUCUGCAUGCUUAAUAGGUGUGUAGUCUGACGGUACCUGAGGAAUAAGCACCGGCUAACUUCGUGCCAGCAGCCGCGGUAAUACGAAGGGUGCAAGCGUUAAUCGGAAUUACUGGGCGUAAAGGGUGCGUAGGCGGUUUGUUAAGUCUGUUGUGAAAUCC